RNAcentral lists this ribosomal RNA (262 nucleotides) under uncultured bacterium. RNAcentral describes it as "partial 16S ribosomal RNA". It matches the Rfam family "Bacterial small subunit ribosomal RNA", at positions 524 to 777 of the family's 1533-position model. The record is from RNAcentral.
CACAGAGUGAGCGAGCGUUAUCCAUUCUAACUGGGUGUAAAGGGUGUGCAGGCGGACAUUACUGAGACGGCUAGAGCGAAAUUGCUGUAUUGGGUAGGAAGCUCUAGCAGCAGGUGUCUUGAGAUUAGGAGGAGCUAUUAGAAUACGUAGUGGAUUUGAUUUAGGAAAUUAUCGAUCUUACGGGGACUACCAGUCGCGAAAAGCAUAUAGCUAGACUAAAAUCUGACGCUGAGGCACGAAAAUCGUGGGGGAGCAAAAAGGG